CCUACGGGAGGCUGCAGUGGGGAAUAUUGCACAAUGGGCGCAAGCCUGAUGCAGCCAUGCCGCGUGUGUGAAGAAGGCCUUCGGGUUGUAAAGCACUUUCAGCGGGGAGGAAGGCGGUGAGGUUAAUAACCUCAUCGAUUGACGUUACCCGCAGAAGAAGCACCGGCUAACUCCGUGCCAGCAGCCGCGGUAAUACGGAGGGUGCAAGCGUUGAUCGGAAUUACUGGGCGUAAAGCGCACGCAGGCGGUCUGUCAAGUCGGAUGUGAAAUCCCCGAGCUCAACCUGGGAACUGCAUUCGAAACUGGCAGGCUAGAGUCUUGUAGAGGGGGGUAGAAUUCCAGGUGUAGCGGUGAAAUGCGUAGAGAUCUGGAGGAAUACCGGUGGCGAAGGCGGCCCCCUGGACAAAGACUGACGCUCAGGUGCGAAAGCGUGGGGAGCAAACAGGAUUAGAUACCCGUGUAGUC
RNAcentral lists this ribosomal RNA (465 nucleotides) under uncultured Klebsiella sp. RNAcentral describes it as "bacterial SSU rRNA". It matches the Rfam family "Bacterial small subunit ribosomal RNA", at positions 338 to 795 of the family's 1533-position model. The record is from RNAcentral. Lineage: Bacteria; Pseudomonadati; Pseudomonadota; Gammaproteobacteria; Enterobacterales; Enterobacteriaceae.